ACGUUCAUUAUUAUUUUAUUAAUUUAUCGUCACACGUCAUUUACCAGUUGCCUAAUUACGAAAAGUUUCAUAUGACAUUAACCUCAAAAAUGAUCUUUGAAAACAAACAACAACAAACAGAGCAACAAAUGAACAAAUAACUACAUAAUGACUGAUAAUGAUAAAUGAUAAUAAUAACUUUAAUGAUAUGAAGGCUGAUGAAGUUUUAGACAACCAAUACAAGAUUUAGAACUUGACAUCGUGAUAAACAAAUUGUACAUUCAGGAACUCGUUUAAAUAUUAUAGGUUGAUUGACGAAUACUCUACAGUUGAUUAGAGCCCAUGAUGAUGCGAAGAUAAUUAAUAUCACCUAACUUCAAGAAACCAACGUAAUGAAGUUUACAUUCAUAACUCAUCUAACCAUUAUAGAUCAGUAAUGUCGUCAUAAUUUAAAUGAACUCACAGAUAGCAAUGGGGCACUGCACCGAAGCAGUAUUACAAAAUAUGUGAAAUAAAACUGUAAUACAAAUUGCUCUAUAAAAUUUAAUAGAAAUAAAUUUAUUUAUGAAAAUUAAGUUAUGAAGUUUUAUUUUUCCUAGGAAAAAAAUAACAUUUAUAUUUUGAUCAAUUUAGAACAUUACAGUUAAAAAAAUAUGUGUUAGAAUAACAUAUUUUUAAUAAAAUUGCAGCUUUUAAUUUUUAUACUUUUUUGCUUUUAUAUCAAUAAGAACUAACGUAAGGAACAAUUCAUAUUUAUACUAUGAAAACACAUGCAUAUUUUUUGAUGUUUUUAAAACCAGUGAAUGAUGUUGAAAUAUACUACACCUAUUAUUCUUAUUAACUAACUUUAAUUACAAACUUACACAUUAUUGUCAUUGGAAAUAAAUUAAUUUGGAUAUUCUA
RNAcentral lists this long non-coding RNA (882 nucleotides) under Sitophilus oryzae (rice weevil). RNAcentral's name for it is "uncharacterized LOC115877632, transcript variant X2". The record is from RNAcentral. Lineage: Eukaryota; Metazoa; Arthropoda; Insecta; Coleoptera; Curculionidae.